Molecule: ribosomal RNA, 872 nt
Filed under: Melanoleuca sp. MSG-2013a
Lineage: Eukaryota; Fungi; Basidiomycota; Agaricomycetes; Agaricales; Pluteaceae
Description: eukaryotic LSU rRNA
Rfam family: Eukaryotic large subunit ribosomal RNA
Source: RNAcentral
GAAACUAACAAGGAUUCCCCUAGUAACUGCGAGUGAAGCGGGAAAAGCUCAAAUUUAAAAUCUGGCAGUCUCUGGCUGUCCGAGUUGUAAUCUAGAGAAGUGUUAUCCGCGCUGGACCAUGUACAAGUCUCCUGGAACGGAGCGUCAUAGAGGGUGAGAAUCCCGUCUUUGACAUGGACUACCAGGGCUUUGUGAUGCGCUCUCAAAGAGUCGAGUUGUUUGGGAAUGCAGCUCAAAAUGGGUGGUAAAUUCCAUCUAAAGCUAAAUAUUGGCGAGAGACCGAUAGCGAACAAGUACCGUGAGGGAAAGAUGAAAAGAACUUUGGAAAGAGAGUUAAACAGUACGUGAAAUUGUUGAAAGGGAAACGCUUGAAGUCAGUCGCAUUGGCCAGGGAUCAACCUUACACUUGUUGGGUGUACUUUCUGGUCAAUGGGUCAGCAUCAAUUUUGACUGUUGGAAAAAGGUCAGGGGAAUGUGGCAUCUUUGGAUGUGUUAUAGCCCUUGGUUGUAUACAGCAGUUGGGAUUGAGGAACUCAGCACGCCGCAAGGCCGGGUUUUUAACCACGUACGUGCUUAGGAUGCUGGCAUAAUGGCUUUAAUCGACCCGUCUUGAAACACGGACCAAGGAGUCUAACAUGCCUGCGAGUGUUUGGGUGGAAAACCCAUGCGCGUAAUGAAAGUGAAAGUUGAGAUCUCUGUCGUGGAGAGCAUCGACGCCCGGACCAGACCUUUUGUGACGGUCCCGCGGUAGAGCAUGUAUGUUGGGACCCGAAAGAUGGUGAACUAUGCCUGAAUAGGGUGAAGCCAGAGGAAACUCUGGUGGAGGCUCGUAGCGAUUCUGACGUGCAAAUCGAUCGUCGAAUUUGGGUAUA